UUGUUGGAGAGUUUGAUCCUGGCUCAGGACGAACGCUGGCGGCGUGCUNNACACAUGCAAGUCGAGCGGUNAAGGCCGGGCGGGGGNNNNNNNNNNNNNNNNNNNNNNNNNNNUGGGUNACCUGCCCUCAGCUUUGGGAUAAGCCUGGGAAACCGGGUCUAAUACCGGAUAUGACCUCCUNUCGCNNGCGGGUUGUGGAAAGUNNNNUCGGCUGGGGAUGGCCCGCGGCUUAUCAGCUUGUUGGUGGGGUAAUGGCCUACCAAGGCGACGACGGGUAGCCGGCCUGAGAGGGUGACCGGCCACACUGGGACUGAGACACGGCCNAGACUCCUACGGGAGGCAGCAGUGGGGAAUAUUGCGCAAUGGGCGGAAGCCUNACGCAGCGACGCCGCGUGGGGGAUGACGGCCUNCGGGUNGUAAACCUCUUUCGCCAUCGACGAAGCCUUGCGGGGUUGACGGUAGGUGGAGAAGAAGCACCGGCCAACUACGUGCCAGCAGCCGCGGUAAUACGUAGGGUGCGAGCGUUGUCCGGAAUUAUUGGGCGUAAAGAGCUCGUAGGCGGUGUGUCGCGUCGGUCGUGAAAACUUGGGGCUNAACCCUGAGCUUGCGGUCGAUACGGGCAUCACUNNAGUUCGGCAGGGGAGACUGGAAUUCCUGGUGUAGCGGUGNAAUGCGCAGAUAUCAGGAGGAACACCGGUGGCGNAGGCGGGUCUCUNGGCCGAUACUGACGCUGAGGAGCGAAAGCGUGGGGAGCGAACAGGAUUAGAUACCCUGGUAGUCCACGCCGUAAACGGUGGGCGCUAGGUGUGGGGGCCAUUCCACGGUCUCUGUGCCGCAGCUAACGCAUUAAGCGCCCCGCCUGGGGAGUACGGCCGCAAGGCUAAAACUAAGAAUUGAGGGGGCCGCACAAGCGGNGGAGCAUGUGGAUNNAUUCGAUGAAACGCGAAGAACCUUACCUGGGUUUGACAUGCACCAGACGCGUCCAGAGAUGGGCGUUCCCUUGUGGCUGGUGUGCAGGUGGUGCAUGGCUGUCGUCAGCUCGUGUCGUGAGAUGUUGGGUUAAGUCCCGCAACGAGCGCAACCCUAGUUCCAUGUUGCCAGCGGGUAGUGCUGGGGACUCAUGGGAGACUGCCGGGGUCAACUCGGAGGAAGGUGGGGAUGACGUCAAGUCAUCAUGCCCCUNAUGUCCAGGGNNUCACACAUGCUNCAAUGGCCUGUACAGAGGGCUGCGAGACCGCAAGGUGGAGCGAAUCCCUNAAAGUAGGUCUCAGUUCGGAUCGGGGUCUGCAACUCGACCCCGUGAAGUUGGAGUCGCUAGUAAUCGCAGAUCAGCAACGCUGCGGUAAAUACGUUCCCGGGCCUUGUACACACCGCNCGUCACGUCACGAAAGUUGGUAACACCCGAAGCCGACGGCCYAACCCGCGGGAGGGAGUAGUCGAAGGUGGGACUGGCGAU
RNAcentral lists this ribosomal RNA (1456 nucleotides) under Pseudonocardia autotrophica. Its description in RNAcentral is "16S ribosomal RNA". It matches the Rfam family "Bacterial small subunit ribosomal RNA". The record is from RNAcentral. Lineage: Bacteria; Bacillati; Actinomycetota; Actinomycetes; Pseudonocardiales; Pseudonocardiaceae.